This is a long non-coding RNA of Camarhynchus parvulus, 419 nucleotides long. RefSeq lists it as uncharacterized. The record is from RefSeq and is a predicted model, not a curated record. The transcript is spliced from 5 exons. Lineage: Eukaryota; Metazoa; Chordata; Aves; Passeriformes; Thraupidae.
GGGGAGGGGCUGGAGCUGCAGGAGCUGCGCGAGAUCCUGGGCAGGCCCCCCCGGGAUCCUCCCCUGGACUCUUCCGGGUCCGAGCCCGAACCGGAAGGGGCGGGGCCUGAGCCGGAAGGGGCGGAGCCGCUGGAGGGGGAGGAGCCAGAGGAGGAGGAGGAGGAAGAGGAAGAGGGGGGAGGGGCCCCCGAGGUGACCCGAGGGGCCCCUCCCCCCGCUGGCCCCGCCCUGCAGGAGCUGAGGGCGGAGCUGGGAGGGGGCGGGGCCGGGGCGGAGCCUGAGCGGAGCCUGCCCAGGCUGAUCCGGCAGCGCGAAUGGGGGCGGAGCUUCUCCAGGGAGGAGAGAACCCAGCUGAGCUCCCACUUCCUGCCCAAUCACGCGGGGGGUUUUGCAGCCCCACCCCAGAAGGUUUUCUGCUC